GCCGCGGCGGCCAGGGUUCGAAGGCGGUCGGCCGCCGCGGCCGGCCCGCCGCGCGGAGACUUUCCGGUGCCGGGCCGGGUCGCGGCUC
RNAcentral lists this transfer RNA (88 nucleotides) under Couchioplanes azureus. RNAcentral's name for it is "Couchioplanes caeruleus subsp. azureus tRNA-Arg". Lineage: Bacteria; Bacillati; Actinomycetota; Actinomycetes; Micromonosporales; Micromonosporaceae. The record is from RNAcentral.